This is a long non-coding RNA of Oncorhynchus nerka (sockeye salmon), 362 nucleotides long. RefSeq lists it as uncharacterized. The record is from RefSeq and is a predicted model, not a curated record. Lineage: Eukaryota; Metazoa; Chordata; Actinopteri; Salmoniformes; Salmonidae. The transcript has 3 exons.
CCACCACUACAGACUGGCUGUGCUCCCUGCCCUGUCUCCAUGGAGACCAACUGCUACAGAGGGAGAGGAAGUUGGCCGAGGUGCAGACUCUGGUCCUAAAGGAGUGCCUGAGACGUAGAGAAGAGGCAGAGAAACCAGCUUCAAUACCAGUAAAUGACCUGAAGAUCUUGCUCAGCCUGGCCAGAGAACAGUACCUCAAGAUGCAUGACUCUACCCUGCCUAAAGCCUCUACCCUGCCUAAAGACUCUAGUCUGCCCAGAGUUGAGCCCUGUGGAGCAGAGGAGGUGAACCUCACUACGAAGACUACAGAGUUCAUUAAACACUCCCAACAUGCUGAUUGGCCAGAGAGAAGUGUUCUGCAG